Molecule: non-coding RNA, 96 nt
Organism: Rhizodiscina lignyota
Lineage: Eukaryota; Fungi; Ascomycota; Dothideomycetes; Aulographales; Rhizodiscinaceae
Source: the annotation of a GenBank genome assembly
GGGGCAAUGGCGCAGCUGGGAGCGCGUUAGACUGAAGCAAAACUUCAGCCAUCACAUGGAAUCUAAAGGUCACCGGUUCAAUCCCGGUUUGCCCCA